Molecule: transfer RNA, 72 nt
Filed under: Candidatus Aenigmatarchaeota archaeon
Lineage: Archaea; Nanobdellati; Candidatus Aenigmatarchaeota
Description: tRNA-Asn
Rfam family: tRNA
About the family: Transfer RNA (tRNA) molecules are approximately 80 nucleotides in length. Their secondary structure includes four short double-helical elements and three loops (D, anti-codon, and T loops).
Source: RNAcentral
GCCCCGGUAGCUCAGCGGUAGAGCAACCGGCUGUUAACCGGGAGGUCGUGGGUUCGAAUCCCACCCGGGGCG